RNAcentral lists this small RNA (67 nucleotides) under Psychrobacillus sp. OK032. RNAcentral describes it as "Bacillaceae-1 RNA". It matches the Rfam family "Bacillaceae-1 RNA". The record is from RNAcentral. Lineage: Bacteria; Bacillati; Bacillota; Bacilli; Caryophanales; Bacillaceae.
AACAGAGGAACGAAGGCUAAGUGCGCCACCUCGUGUGGCAACACCUUCGUGACCAACAUCCUGUUGG